UACGUAGGGGGCUAGCGUUGUCCGGAUUUACUGGGCGUAAAGGGCGCGUAGGCGGCAAUUCAAGUCAUCUGUGAAAUCUCCGAGCUUAACUCGGAACGGUCAGAUGAUACUGCUUUGCUAGAGUGCAGAAGGGGCAACCGGAAUUCUUGGUGUAGCGGUGAAAUGCGUAGAUAUCAAGAGGAACACCGGAGGUGAAGACGGGUUGCUGGGCUGACACUGACGCUGAGGCGCGAAAGCUAGGGUAGCAAACAGG
This 253-nucleotide ribosomal RNA is filed under the name uncultured bacterium. Its description in RNAcentral is "partial 16S ribosomal RNA". It matches the Rfam family "Bacterial small subunit ribosomal RNA", at positions 524 to 776 of the family's 1533-position model. The record is from RNAcentral.